Molecule: ribosomal RNA, 433 nt
Filed under: uncultured bacterium
Lineage: Bacteria
Description: partial 16S ribosomal RNA
Rfam family: Bacterial small subunit ribosomal RNA
Source: RNAcentral
AACGAACGCUGGCGGCGGGCUUAACACAUGCAAGUCGAGCGAGACCUUCGGGUCUAGCGGCGGACGGGUGAGUAACGCGUGGGAACGUGCCCUUCUCUACGGAAUAGCCCCGGGAAACUGGGAGUAAUACCGUAUACGCCCUUUGGGGGAAAGAUUUAUCGGAGAAGGAUCGGCCCGCGUUGGAUUAGGUAGUUGGUGGGGUAAUGGCCCACCAAGCCGACGAUCCAUAGCUGGUUUGAGAGGAUGAUCAGCCACACUGGGACUGAGACACGGCCCAGACUCCUACGGGAGGCAGCAGUGGGGAAUCUUAGACAAUGGGGGCAACCCUGAUCUAGCCAUGCCGCGUGAGUGAUGAAGGCCUUAGGGUUGUAAAGCUCUUUCAGCUGGGAAGAUAAUGACGGUACCAGCAGAAGAAGCCCCGGCUAACUCCGUG